CCGACUCUCGCAACGUGCCCGACUGACCAUCGGAGGGUCCCUGGGUGUUCGCCUGAGGGUCCCUGGGUGUUCGCCCGACAUUCCUCGACCAGGCACCGACGUACAGUCGGUCGACUCCUUCGAACGCCGUACGACUGCUGGAGAUUGUCCAACCUGACAGCGACGUGCGGCGUAGCCAUCCUGGGGCAUUAUCCCGUCCAGGACGUAGGUUAACCCUAGUAAUUUGACAGACCCCACGGCGACUCUGACAGUCUUCGGUAAUUUGACAAUUCUCCCAUUAUCUGCGCCAUUAAUGAUGACGCCAUGCCGCGCCCUACUAUAAAACGGGGAAGGCAACAGUGCUGGAGGAGGUUCCUUUCGAAACUCCUGAACUCUUUCUCUCUAGCUCUCUCUCGCUGAGCUCUUUGAUUCUUUUCUAUUGUUGCCUAGUCUCCUCUCUGACUUGAUCGUCGGAGGGUCUCCGUCGGAGUCACCUCCGGUCGGUGCGGACUUCUUUUGCAGGCGCUCGUUCCUGACGACCAGAUGACGAGGGGAUUGACCG
Molecule: long non-coding RNA, 541 nt
Filed under: Elaeis guineensis (African oil palm)
Lineage: Eukaryota; Viridiplantae; Streptophyta; Magnoliopsida; Arecales; Arecaceae
Description: long non-coding RNA (EGUI_LNC076812)
Source: RNAcentral